CCCGAUGAGGAGAAUGCCCGGCUGUAGCACCAGUUCGUCGUGUCUGUCAAGCUCAGGCCGCACAUCACCAUUGAUUUGGGUUUGCAAAGAGGGAGAAAGAUUGACCAAUUGGGGAGUUCUCGGUGUUACUGGAAAGCGAAGAGCAGAGUAAUUGGUGGUUGCUUGAAAAAAUGAUAGAUGAUGAUAAUUCCAUACAAGAAAUGGUUUGGAAAUAAAUGAAAUAAUUUGACGAUGGAAAAGUUUCAAUCAAUGGGAAUCACGUGGCUAGACCAUCUCCUUGAGAAUUAUUAAGGGAUUUGUUUUUCAAUUCCGAGUUGUAUUGGUAGUUUGGUCCACUUUCCUCCUUGUUAUUAUCGGGACUUUAUCUUCCAAGCCAUUGUCUGGUCAUCUCAGAUGUGUCAUGGGUCAUGGCAAUUGGCAAACGGGCUGGCUAUUGGCCUUUGAAUUCAGCUGCUAGUGGGCUUACCACACUGGAAAUAAACACAAGCACUUCUCCCGCCACCAGCGACCAACCGGCGG
Molecule: long non-coding RNA, 519 nt
Filed under: Linum usitatissimum (flax)
Lineage: Eukaryota; Viridiplantae; Streptophyta; Magnoliopsida; Malpighiales; Linaceae
Description: long non-coding RNA (LUSI_LNC001786)
Source: RNAcentral